UUAUUGAUAGUCAGCGGUGACCGUGAACUGGGCGCUGUAGACGCCCGGAGCCUGGUUGGCGCCCACGUCGAUGGU
RNAcentral lists this transfer RNA (75 nucleotides) under Sphingomonas astaxanthinifaciens DSM 22298. Its description in RNAcentral is "tRNA-Tyr". Lineage: Bacteria; Pseudomonadati; Pseudomonadota; Alphaproteobacteria; Sphingomonadales; Sphingomonadaceae. The record is from RNAcentral.